RNAcentral lists this signal recognition particle RNA (298 nucleotides) under Aotus nancymaae (Ma's night monkey). RNAcentral's name for it is "Metazoan signal recognition particle RNA (ENSANAG00000011727.1)". It matches the Rfam family "Metazoan signal recognition particle RNA". From Rfam's summary of the family: The signal recognition particle (SRP) is a universally conserved ribonucleoprotein. It is involved in the co-translational targeting of proteins to membranes. The eukaryotic SRP consists of a 300-nucleotide 7S RNA and six proteins: SRPs 72, 68, 54, 19, 14, and 9. The record is from RNAcentral. Lineage: Eukaryota; Metazoa; Chordata; Mammalia; Primates; Aotidae.
GCCAGGUGCAGUGACGCGUGCCUGUAGUCCCAGCUACUCAGGAGGCUGAGGCUGGAGGAUUGCUUGAGCCCAGGAGUUCUGGGCUGUAGUGCGCUAUGCGAUCGGUGUCCGCGUCUAAGUUUGGAUCCAAUAUGGUGACCUCCCGGGAGCGGGGGACCACCAGGUUGCCUAAGGAGGGGUGAACCGGCCCAGGUCGGAAACUGAGCAGGUCAAAACUCCCGUGCUGUUCAGUAGUGGGAUCUUGUCUGUGAAUAACCACUGCACUCCAGUCUGGGCAACAUAUCGAGACCCCGUCUCU